AUCUACGGCCAUGCCACCCUGAACAAGCCUAAUCUCGUCUGAUCUCAGAAGCUAAGCAGGAUCAGGCCUGGUUAGUACUUGGAUAGGAGACCACCUAGGAAGACCAGGUGCUGUAGGCG
This 119-nucleotide ribosomal RNA is filed under the name Pteropus alecto (black flying fox). Lineage: Eukaryota; Metazoa; Chordata; Mammalia; Chiroptera; Pteropodidae. The record is from RNAcentral.